This 94-nucleotide transfer RNA is filed under the name Desulfomonile tiedjei DSM 6799. RNAcentral describes it as "Selenocysteine transfer RNA". It matches the Rfam family "Selenocysteine transfer RNA". The record is from Rfam by way of RNAcentral. Lineage: Bacteria; Pseudomonadati; Thermodesulfobacteriota; Desulfomonilia; Desulfomonilales; Desulfomonilaceae.
GGAGGUGGUAGAGUCCUGGUGGGCUCCGCGGUCUUCAAAACCGUAAGCAGGGCGCUAGUACCGUUCUGGGUGGGUUCGAUUCCCAUGCACCUCC